GCUGGGUAGUAGUAGAUGGUGCAUUGCAUGUUGAGUGGCAAGGGGAAAAUUGAUCCCAUCAUAGCCUAUCAUUAGAUAAAAUUCUAUACAAUGCAAUGCACCAUCUACUACUACCCAGCACAUCCAAGGAAGUCAUUGAGAUGUGAUGACCUUGCUCGUAAACCAUAAUUAUACAUUGGUGACACAAACUAUAGUGACUAAAAAGCUCGGCUGGUAUUCCCUCUCUCCAUGCAUAUGCUCAAUUCUGGUCAGGAAAAUCUCAAAAACUGGUUAAGAAGAUUAGUCUCUUUAAGCAUGAGGUUUUGCUGAGGCAUGAAACUCUAACCUGAACGAUAUAUUUAUGUAUGCUUAUCGAUCACCACAACAUCUAGCACCAUUUCCUUCUUGAAGUUUCUGCCAUAGACAAAGCAUCUCACUCGGACCUUGGUAGUGGGCAACAGUAUAACCAUCCUUGCACCCUUCAUUAUAGAUCCUUUCAUUGUUCUCAUACCUAACUUUUAAACCAUCCUUUUUCAUCUGGUUUAUCCAGAUGCCCAUUGCCACAUCUUCUAGCUUAAAAAUCUUCAAAUGACCUUCUU
RNAcentral lists this unclassified non-coding RNA (578 nucleotides) under Hevea brasiliensis (rubber tree). The record is from RNAcentral. Lineage: Eukaryota; Viridiplantae; Streptophyta; Magnoliopsida; Malpighiales; Euphorbiaceae.